CCUUGGGGGCGGGCCUAACACAUGCAGUCGAGCGGUAGAGAGAAGCUUGCUUCUCUUGAGAGCGGCGGACGGGUGAGUAAUGCCUAGGAAUCUGCCUGGUAGUGGGGGAUAACGCUCGGAAACGGACGCUAAUACCGCAUACGUCCUACGGGAGAAAGCAGGGGACCUUCGGGCCUUGCGCUAUCAGAUGAGCCUAGGUCGGAUUAGCUAGUUGGUGAGGUAAUGGCUCACCAAGGCGACGAUCCGUAACUGGUCUGAGAGGAUGAUCAGUCACACUGGAACUGAGACACGGUCCAGACUCCUACGGGAGGCAGCAGUGGGGAAUAUUGGACAAUGGGCGAAAGCCUGAUCCAGCCAUGCCGCGUGUGUGAAGAAGGUCUUCGGAUUGUAAAGCACUUUAAGUUGGGAGGAAGGGCAGUAAAUUAAUACUUUGCUGUUUUGACGUUACCGACAGAAUAAGCACCGGCUAACUCUGUGCCAGCAGCCGCGGUAAUACAGAGGGUGCAAGCGUUAAUCGGAAUUACUGGGCGUAAAGCGCGCGUAGGUGGUUUGUUAAGUUGGAUGUGAAAUCCCCGGGCUCAACCUGGGAACUGCAUUCAAAACUGACAAGCUAGAGUAUGGUAGAGGGUGGUGGAAUUUCCUGUGUAGCGGUGAAAUGCGUAGAUAUAGGAAGGAACACCAGUGGCGAAGGCGACCACCUGGACUGAUACUGACACUGAGGUGCGAAAGCGUGGGGAGCAAACAGGAUUAGAUACCCUGGUAGUCCACGCCGUAAACGAUGUCAACUAGCCGUUUGGGAGCCUUGAGCUCUUUAGUGGCGCAGCUAACGCAUUAAGUUGACCGCCUGGGGGAGUACGGCCGCAAGGUUAAAACUCAAAUGGAAUUGACGGGGGCCCGCACAAGCGGUGGGAGCAUGUGGGUUUAUUUCGAAGCAACGCAAGAACCUUACCAGGGCCUGACUCCAAUGAACUUUCCAGAAAUGGAUUGGUGCCUUUCGGAACUUGAGACAGGUGCUGCAUGGCUGUCGUCAGCUCCGUGUCUGAGAUGUUGGGUAAGUCCCCGUGCGAUCGCACCCUU
RNAcentral lists this ribosomal RNA (1077 nucleotides) under Pseudomonas sp. Its description in RNAcentral is "bacterial SSU rRNA". It matches the Rfam family "Bacterial small subunit ribosomal RNA", at positions 34 to 1105 of the family's 1533-position model. Lineage: Bacteria; Pseudomonadati; Pseudomonadota; Gammaproteobacteria; Pseudomonadales; Pseudomonadaceae. The record is from RNAcentral.